Molecule: ribosomal RNA, 1422 nt
Filed under: uncultured bacterium
Lineage: Bacteria
Description: bacterial SSU rRNA
Rfam family: Bacterial small subunit ribosomal RNA
Source: RNAcentral
UUUGAUCCUGGCUCAGGACGAACGCUGGCGGCGUGCUUAACACAUGCAAGUCGAACGGUGAAGCGCCUUCCUUUUUGGUGGGUGUGGAUGAGUGGCGAACGGGUGAGUAACACGUGAGUAACCUGCCCCCUUCUUCUGGAUAACCGCAUGAAAGUGUGGCUAAUACGGGAUAUUCUGUGCCUGCUGCAUGGUGGGUGUGGGAAAGAUUGCGCUUUUUUGGUGUUUUUGGUGGGGGAUGGGCUCGCGGCCUAUCAGCUUGUUGGUGGGGUGAUGGCCUACCAAGGCGGUGACGGGUAGCCGGCCUGAGAGGGUGGACGGUCACACUGGGACUGAGACACGGCCCAGACUCCUACGGGAGGCAGCAGUGGGGAAUAUUGCACAAUGGGCGCAAGCCUGAUGCAGCGACGCCGCGUGAGGGAUGGAGGCCUUCGGGUUGUGAACCUCUUUCGCCAGUGAAGCAGGCCUGCUCCUUUUUUGUGGGUGGGUUGACGGUAGCUGGAUAAGAAGCGCCGGCUAACUACGUGCCAGCAGCCGCGGUAAUACGUAGGGCGCGAGCGUUGUCCGGAAUUAUUGGGCGUAAAGAGCUCGUAGGCGGCUGGUCGCGUCUGUCGUGAAAUCCUCUGGCUUAACUGGGGGCUUGCGGUGGGUACGGGCCGGCUUGAGUGCGGUAGGGGAGACUGGAACUCCUGGUGUAGCGGUGGAAUGCGCAGAUAUCAGGAAGAACACCGGUGGCGAAGGCGGGUCUCUGGGCCGUUACUGACGCUGAGGAGCGAAAGCGUGGGGAGCGAACAGGAUUAGAUACCCUGGUAGUCCACGCCGUAAACGUUGGGCACUAGGUGUGGGGGGCCUUUUCCGGGUUUUCCGCGCCGUAGCUAACGCAUUAAGUGCCCCGCCUGGGGAGUACGGCCGCAAGGCUAAAACUCAAAGGAAUUGACGGGGGCCCGCACAAGCGGCGGAGCAUGCGGAUUAAUUCGAUGCAACGCGAAGAACCUUACCAAGGCUUGACAUGUGCCGGUCGGCUCCGGAGACGGGGUUUCCUCCUUGUGGGGCCGGUUCACAGGUGGUGCAUGGUUGUCGUCAGCUCGUGUCGUGAGAUGUUGGGUUAAGUCCCGCAACGAGCGCAACCCUUGUCUCGUGUUGCCAGCACGUUGUGGUGGGGACUCGCGGGAGACUGCCGGGGUCAACUCGGAGGAAGGUGGGGAUGACGUCAAAUCAUCAUGCCCCUUAUGUCUUGGGCUUCACGCAUGCUACAAUGGCCGGUACAGAGGGCUGCGAUACCGUGAGGUGGAGCGAAUCCCUUAAAGCCGGUCUCAGUUCGGAUCGGUGUCUGCAACUCGACACCGUGAAGUUGGAGUCGCUAGUAAUCGCAGAUCAGCAACGCUGCGGUGAAUACGUUCUCGGGCCUUGUACACACCGCCCGUC